GAUGGUUGCUAGUGUGUUCUGGGUGUUCUAGAUGGUUGCUAGUGUGUUCUGGGUGUUCUAGGUGGUUGCUAGUGUGUUCUGGGUGUUCUAGGUGGUUGCUAGUGUGUUCUGUGUGUUCUAGGUGGUUGCUAGUGUGUUCUGG
Long non-coding RNA from Carassius gibelio (silver crucian carp), 142 nucleotides. RefSeq lists it as uncharacterized. The transcript has 3 exons. The record is from RefSeq and is a predicted model, not a curated record. NCBI's taxonomy places the organism in Eukaryota, Metazoa, Chordata, Actinopteri, Cypriniformes, Cyprinidae.